Small nuclear RNA from Myotis lucifugus (little brown bat), 104 nucleotides. The record is from Ensembl. Lineage: Eukaryota; Metazoa; Chordata; Mammalia; Chiroptera; Vespertilionidae.
GUGCUCCCUUCAGCAGCACAUUUACCAAAAUCAGAACAACACUGAGAUUAGCAUGGUCCCUGCGUAAGCAUGACACACACAUUAUUGAAGCAUUCCAUGAUCUU